Molecule: ribosomal RNA, 170 nt
Filed under: uncultured bacterium
Lineage: Bacteria
Description: partial 16S ribosomal RNA
Rfam family: Bacterial small subunit ribosomal RNA
Source: RNAcentral
CCUACGGGAGGCAGCAGUGGGGAAUAUUGGACAAUGGGCGAAAGCCUGAUCUAGCCAUGCCGCGUGUGUGAAGAAGGUCUUAGGGUUGUAAAGCUCUUUCGCACGCGACGAUGAUGACGGUAGCGUGAGAAGAAGCCCCGGCUAACUUCGUGCCAGCAGCCGCGGUAAUA